This is a small nuclear RNA of Heterocephalus glaber (naked mole-rat), 164 nucleotides long. Its record names the gene U2. It matches the Rfam family "U2 spliceosomal RNA". From Rfam's summary of the family: U2 is a small nuclear RNA (snRNA) component of the spliceosome (involved in pre-mRNA splicing). Complementary binding between U2 snRNA (in an area lying towards the 5' end but 3' to hairpin I) and the branchpoint sequence (BPS) of the intron results the bulging out of an unpaired adenosine, on the BPS, which initiates a nucleophilic attack at the intronic 5' splice site, thus starting the first of two transesterification reactions that mediate splicing. Lineage: Eukaryota; Metazoa; Chordata; Mammalia; Rodentia; Bathyergidae. The record is from Ensembl.
AUCGCUUCUUGGCCUUUUGGCUAAGAUCAAGUGUAGAACAGAAAAUCUUCUUCGUGUACUGACAUUAGUCUAUUUAAAUAAAGAUCAAAAUGGUUUAUCCAGAGACAUCUGACCACACUCUUCCCAAUUAGAUUAAUAUACCUUCUAAUUAGCAGGAAAUAUUU